UGGGGAAUAUUGGACAAUGGGCGCAAGCCUGAUCCAGCAAUGCCGCGUGUGUGAAGAAGGCCUUCGGGUUGUAAAGCACUUUUAUCGGGAGCGAAAAGCGACGGGUUAAUACCUCGUCGUGCUGACGGUACCCGAUGAAUAAGCACCGGCUAACUUCGUGCCAGCAGCCGCGGUAAUACGAAGGGUGCAAGCGUUAGUCGGAAUUACUGGGCGUAAAGCGUGCGUAGGCGGUUUUUUAAGUCUGCCGUGAAAGCCCCGGGCUCAACCUGGGAAUGGCGGUGGAUACUGGAAAGCUGGAGUGCGGUAGAGGAGGGUGGAAUUCCCGGUGUAGCGGUGAAAUGCGUAGAGAUCGGGAGGAACAUCAGUGGCGAAGGCGGCCCUCUGGACCAGCACUGACGCUGAGGCACGAAAGCGUGGGGAGCAAACAGG
This 429-nucleotide ribosomal RNA is filed under the name uncultured bacterium. RNAcentral's name for it is "bacterial SSU rRNA". It matches the Rfam family "Bacterial small subunit ribosomal RNA", at positions 355 to 776 of the family's 1533-position model. The record is from RNAcentral.